Molecule: ribosomal RNA, 475 nt
Filed under: uncultured bacterium
Lineage: Bacteria
Description: bacterial SSU rRNA
Rfam family: Bacterial small subunit ribosomal RNA
Source: RNAcentral
GGACGAACGCUGGCGGCGUGCUUAACACAUGCAAGUCGAGCGAUGAAGCUUCUUCGGAAGUGGAUUAGCGGCGGACGGGUGAGUAACACGUGGGUAACCUGCCUCAUAGAGGGGAAUAGCCUUCCGAAAGGAAGAUUAAUACCGCAUAAGAUUGUAAUAUCGCAUGAUAUAGCAAUUAAAGGAGUAAUCCGCUAUGAGAUGGACCCGCGUCGCAUUAGCUAGUUGGUGAGGUAACGGCUCACCAAGGCGACGAUGCGUAGCCGACCUGAGAGGGUGAUCGGCCACAUUGGGACUGAGACACGGCCCAGACUCCUACGGGAGGCAGCAGUGGGGAAUAUUGCACAAUGGGGGAAACCCUGAUGCAGCCAACGCCGCGUGAGUGAUGACGGUCUUCGGAUUGUAAAGCUCUGUCUUCAGGGACGAUAAUGACGGUACCUGAGGAGGAAGCCACGGCUAACUACGUGCCAGCAGCCGC